CCUGGCUCAGGAUGAACGCUAGCGGCAGGCUAACACAUGCAAGUCGAGGGGCAUCGGGAGUAGCAAUACUGCCGGCGACCGGCGCAAGGGUGCGUAACGCGUGAGCAACAUGCCCGUAUCAGGGGGAUAAUCCAUGGAAACGUGGUCUAAUACCCCAUAGUAAUUAUGUAAGGCAUCUUAUAUAAUUUAAAGCUUUGGUGGAUACGGAUUGGCUCGCGUGACAUUAGCUAGAUGGUAAGGUAACGGCUUACCAUGGCUACGAUGUCUAGGGGUCCUGAGAGGAAGGUCCCCCCACACUGGAACUGAGACACGGUCCAGACUCCUACGGGAGGCAGCAGUGAGGAAUAUUGGACAAUGGAUGGAAAUCUGAUCCAGCCAUGCCGCGUGCAGGAAAGACGGCCCUAUGGGUUGUAAACUGCUUUUGUAUGGGAGCAAUAAGGGCUACGCGUAGUCCGAUGAGAGUACCAUACGAAUAAGCACCGGCUAACUCCGUGCCAGCAGCCGC
This 505-nucleotide ribosomal RNA is filed under the name uncultured bacterium. RNAcentral's name for it is "bacterial SSU rRNA". It matches the Rfam family "Bacterial small subunit ribosomal RNA", at positions 18 to 518 of the family's 1533-position model. The record is from RNAcentral.